Molecule: long non-coding RNA, 629 nt
Filed under: Nicotiana benthamiana
Lineage: Eukaryota; Viridiplantae; Streptophyta; Magnoliopsida; Solanales; Solanaceae
Description: long non-coding RNA (NBEN_LNC027852)
Source: RNAcentral
AUUAGCUCAUGAGCUAAUAUCACAUUGUCUGCUACUCUUCUUCCUGGUAUAAAUCCAGCCUGCGAGUUGCAUAUAAUACUACUCAUAACUUUUUGGAGUCUAUUCGCCAACAGCUUGGAAAUAAUCUUAUACAAGACUGAGCAACAAGCUAUAGGCCUAAACUCUUUCNNNNNNNNNNNNNNNNNNNNNNNNNNNNACAAGCUAUAGGCCUAAACUCUUUCACUGUUUGAGGAUUAGGUACUUUAGGUAGCAAAGUGAGAGUUGCACAAUUAGCAGGUCUGUACAUUGUGGAGGUAUGAAAGAAAUUUCUGACAGCUUGGAUAACCUGAUUACCAAUGAUAUGCCAAGAUUGUUUGAAGAACAUGGCAUUAAAACCAUCAAUCCCUGGAGCUUUAUCAUUUCCAAUACCCUUCAAGCUGUCAAUUAUCUCUAUAUCAGUUAUAUCAACUACAAGAUCCAUCCUUUGUACUUGAGAUAAUUUUGGUCCAUUCCUCAUAUAUAUCUUAUUCACUGCUGGAAGUGAAUUGGCUGAAGUUCCCAUUAGAGCUUGAUAGAAAUCCCUAAUUUCCUUCUUCAAAUCUGCAGGAUCAUUUAUCUUCAAGCCUCCUUCUGUGGAGAGUUCAAUAAUC